AAGUCGUAACAAGGUUUCCGUAGGUGAACCUGCGGAAGGAUCAUUAACACGUAUCCACGUUUAUCAACCAACUUACAUACUACGAACCUGUGCUCCCUGAAUGAUCGAAUUCGAUGCUGUCUGAAGGAGGCUAUAGUGGGUUCUAUCGCUUUCGAGCGUUUUGAACACGUCUUCAUUAGGACUUCAAUCCGAUGAGAUUGAGGCUAGAGACUGCGUCAUUCAGGCUUAUUCCUCUCACGUAUACUUCCAACCACUUUCGAACAUACGUGAGAGACCCAUAACCAAACUAUUCACCACAUUUUACCUAUUCUGGCUAACCCAAUAUAUUCCCUACAUUAAUUUGGAGACCGAAUAUAUUUUAAGAUUUAUCUUAACUAAGCACAACUCUUAGCAAUGGAUAUCUUGGUUCUC
This 411-nucleotide unclassified non-coding RNA is filed under the name fungal sp. Its description in RNAcentral is "partial internal transcribed spacer region". The stretch from base 1 to 46 matches the Rfam family "Eukaryotic small subunit ribosomal RNA", at positions 1786 to 1831 of the family's 1831-position model. Lineage: Eukaryota; Fungi. The record is from RNAcentral.